Molecule: ribosomal RNA, 253 nt
Filed under: uncultured bacterium
Lineage: Bacteria
Description: partial 16S ribosomal RNA
Rfam family: Bacterial small subunit ribosomal RNA
Source: RNAcentral
UACAGAGGAGCCAAGCGUUGUCCGGAUUGACUGGGCGUAAAGCGUGCGCAGGCGGCUUUGCAAGACAGAUGUGAAAUCCCCGGGCUUAACCUGGGAACUGCAUUUGUGACUGCAUGGCUGGAGUGCGGCAGAGGGGGAUGGAAUUCCGCGUGUAGCAGUGAAAUGCGUAGAUAUGCGGAGGAACACCGAUGGCGAAGGCAGUCCCCUGGGCCUGCACUGACGCUCAUGCACGAAAGCGUGGGGAGCAAACAGG